Molecule: long non-coding RNA, 1793 nt
Organism: Cyprinus carpio carpio
Lineage: Eukaryota; Metazoa; Chordata; Actinopteri; Cypriniformes; Cyprinidae
Source: Ensembl
UUUCAGAGUUUGACAUUUAACACAGGUCCUCACAUGCUGUUUCACCGCUGACCACAUGCCUGGCCAAAAUGCUACUUCCUGAAGUCGCUUAUAGGUCUUGUAGAUUCCUCCAUGGCCACAGAUGGGAGUGGAGUGAUAGUACUGGAGAAGGGUGGAUCUGAGACUGCUGGGAAUGUAGAUUCUGUAAUGCAGUUGGUUAUUUGUCAGGACAACAUCUGAUACAGGCAGUGCUGGGUCUUUUCCGCUGGUGUACAAGUUACAUCCUGGGGACCCAACGAAUGAGGCGGCUGGUGGUUUUCGUGGAGUUCAUGACCCAUUGCAGUGCAGCAUGUAUAAUUUAGUUCGGCCCCAGUUAAGGUUCGGCUUGCAUAGGCUAUAACCUCCUCUCUGCCUACCUCCCUCCGUUGUGCUAAUAUGGCACCCAGGCCGAUGUCGCUGGCAUCGGUGUAAACAAUGAAUGGCCGCUGAAGAUCGGGAUGGCCCAGAAUGGGAGUGUGUUGAGGGGUUCAGUAAUCUUGGAAAAAUUUGGAACGAAACGGUGAUACCACCCGGCUAACCCGAGGAACCGUUGAACUUCCUUCACGUUCGUAGGCACAGGAUAGGUAUGAAUGGCUUCAGUUUUACAUGGGUCUGCUGAAAUGCCUUUGACACUUACAACAUGUCCUAGGAAGUUCUCCCAGAACUGUCUCCAUAAGCCUCUGAAAAGUUGCGGGAGCAUUUUUGAGACCAAACGGCAUAACAUUAAAUUGAUAGAGACCUGCAGGAGUGAUGAAGGCUGUCUUGGUUUUGCUGUUGGGAUCCAUGGUCACCUGCCAAUAUCCACUGUUUAGAUCAAUAGUAGAGAAGAUGGCUGCCCCAGAGAGGGAUUCCAGAAUUUCUGUGAUGUUGGGAAGAGGACCACCGGUGAUGCCCAAGCAGAGUGGGAUGGUUCAACUAUUCCUUGCCUCAACAUCUCAUCAAGUUGCUCCUCCAGGGCAAAUUGCUUGAGGGGAGACAAACGGUAUGGCCGUUGUUUAAUGGGGACUUGGCUGGUGGCAUAAAUGCUGUGUUGGAGAACCUCAGUACGUCCAGUACGGAGAGUACACACCUGAGGGCUUUCGUUCAGGAUUUGGAGUAAAUGUAGCUUUUCAUCAAAGGGGGUACUCUUUUGAAGGAUCCAGCUUGAAGGAGUAUUUUUGAUCAAUGACAUUGAGUUGCAGCCCACUGAAGAAAAUAAAGUCCAACCCCAAGACUACAGCAUAAGCUAGAGCUUGGGAUGAAAGUACAGCAGUAGAUAAAGAGGACCACGGCACCACGGUUGCAGCUGGUCGGGGGAUGUUAGCUGCCUCAUGAGAUUCUCAUGGAUGAGUGUGUAGCUUGCACCAGUGUCCACAAUGGCUUUACCUGACCAGGCAUCGAUACAAAGGGGAACAACUAUUUGUUGAGCAACAGAGUUGUUGGACGGAUGACCACCUGACUUGGGGUGAUAAGGUUGUUUGCCGCUAGUGGAAUACUGUGGACCAGACGUCUGAGGUGACUGGGGAGAGUUGAUGUCCUAAUUUUACCAGCUCUUCCACAGUAUUUACUCGGCUACGCAAUUGGCUGGCAAGUACGGACACGUUCAGCCAGUUCGUCCUCAUAAUCCUCAGAAAGGAAAGCAGAUAUGAAUGCAGUCUCAAACUCAAUCCAAGUGGUUAUGGUGGACCGUCUGACUUCCCACCAGUCUCGUGCUGUUCCGUACAAGACAGUACGGAAGGUAGCCAGGAUGUCUGCAUCUGUCAGGGGAUGUACAGCCAAAAAAUCCUGACAUUUGG